GAUGAACGCUGGCGGCGUGCCUAAUACAUGCAAGUCGAGCGAACGGACGAGAAGCUCGCGUCUCUGAUGUUAGCGGCGGACGGGUGAGUAACACGUGGAUAACCUACCUAUAAGACUGGGAUAACUUCGGGAAACCGGAGCUAAUACUGGAUGAUAUUUUGAACCGCAUGGUUCAAAAGUGAAUGACGGUCUUGCCGUCACUUAUAGCUGGAUCCGCGCUGCAUUAGCUAGUUGGUAAGGUAACGGCUUACCAAGGCAACGAUGCAUAGCCGACCUGAGAGGGUGAUCGGCCACCCUGGAACUGAGACACGGUCCAGACUCCUACGGGAGGCAGCAGUAGGGAAUCUUCCGCAAUGGGCGAAAGCCUGACGGAGCAACGCCGCGUGAGUGAUGAAGGUCUUCGGAUCGUAAAACUCUGUUAUUAGGGAAGAACAUAUGUGUAAGUAACUGUGCACAUCUUGACGGUACCUAAUCAGAAAGCCACGGCUAACUACGUG
This 497-nucleotide ribosomal RNA is filed under the name uncultured bacterium. RNAcentral describes it as "partial 16S ribosomal RNA". It matches the Rfam family "Bacterial small subunit ribosomal RNA", at positions 28 to 507 of the family's 1533-position model. The record is from RNAcentral.